UUUAAAAGCUUGCUUUUAAAAGUUAGCGGCGGACGGGUGAGUAACACGUGGGUAACCUGCCUGUAAGACUGGGAUAACUCCGGGAAACCGGGGCUAAUACCGGAUAACUUCUUUCCUCGCAUGAGGAAAGAUUGAAAGAUGGCUUCGGCUAUCACUUACAGAUGGACCCGCGGCGCAUUAGCUAGUUGGUGAGGUAACGGCUCACCAAGGCGACGAUGCGUAGCCGACCUGAGAGGGUGAUCGGCCACACUGGGACUGAGACACGGCCCAGACUCCUACGGGAGGCAGCAGUAGGGAAUCUUCCGCAAUGGACGAAAGUCUGACGGAGCAACGCCGCGUGAGUGAUGAAGGUUUUCGGAUCGUAAAACUCUGUUGUUAGGGAAGAACAAGUAUCGUUCGAAUAGGGCGGUACCUUGACGGUACCUAACCAGAAAGCCACGGCUAACUACGUGCCAGCAGCCGCGGUAAUACGUAGGUGGCAAGCGUUGUCCGGAAUUAUUGGGCGUAAAGCGCGCGCAGGCGGUUUCUUAAGUCUGAUGUGAAAGCCCACGGCUC
RNAcentral lists this ribosomal RNA (555 nucleotides) under Bacillus sp. (in: firmicutes). Its description in RNAcentral is "bacterial SSU rRNA". It matches the Rfam family "Bacterial small subunit ribosomal RNA", at positions 71 to 610 of the family's 1533-position model. The record is from RNAcentral. Lineage: Bacteria; Bacillati; Bacillota; Bacilli; Caryophanales; Bacillaceae.